This 499-nucleotide ribosomal RNA is filed under the name uncultured Oscillospiraceae bacterium. RNAcentral describes it as "bacterial SSU rRNA". It matches the Rfam family "Bacterial small subunit ribosomal RNA", at positions 8 to 526 of the family's 1533-position model. The record is from RNAcentral. Lineage: Bacteria; Bacillati; Bacillota; Clostridia; Eubacteriales; Oscillospiraceae.
AGAGUUUGAUCCUGGCUCAGGACGAACGCUGGCGGCGUGCUUAACACAUGCAAGUCGAACGGAGAUAAUAGCAAUAUUAUCUUAGUGGCGGACGGGUGAGUAACGCGUGGGCAAUCUGCCUCAGAAUGGGGGAUAACACAGGGAAACUUGUGCUAAUACCGCAUAACAUGGAGAAGUGACAUCACUAUUCCAUCAAAGGAGCAAUCCGUUCUGAGAUGAGCCCGCGUCCGAUUAGCUAGUUGGUGAGGUAACGGCCCACCAAGGCGACGAUCGGUAGCCGAACUGAGAGGUUGAUCGGCCACAUUGGGACUGAGACACGGCCCAGACUCCUACGGGAGGCAGCAGUGGGGAAUAUUGCACAAUGGGCGAAAGCCUGAUGCAGCAACGCCGCGUGAGUGAUGAAGGUCUUCGGAUCGUAAAGCUCUGUCUUCUGGGAAGAUAAUGACGGUACCAGAGGAGGAAGCCACGGCUAACUACGUGCCAGCAGCCGCGGUAAUAC